UCCCUGGAGGACUAGUGGUUAGGCCACAGCACUCUCACUGCUGUGGCCUGGGUUUGAUUCCCAGCCAGGGAA
Molecule: transfer RNA, 72 nt
Filed under: Pangasianodon hypophthalmus (striped catfish)
Lineage: Eukaryota; Metazoa; Chordata; Actinopteri; Siluriformes; Pangasiidae
Rfam family: tRNA
About the family: Transfer RNA (tRNA) molecules are approximately 80 nucleotides in length. Their secondary structure includes four short double-helical elements and three loops (D, anti-codon, and T loops).
Source: Rfam by way of RNAcentral